Molecule: ribosomal RNA, 253 nt
Filed under: uncultured bacterium
Lineage: Bacteria
Description: partial 16S ribosomal RNA
Rfam family: Bacterial small subunit ribosomal RNA
Source: RNAcentral
UACGUAGGGGGCAAGCGUUGUCCGGAAUCAUUGGGCGUAAAGAGCGUGUAGGCGGCCCGAUAAGUCCGCUGUGAAAGUCGAGGGCUCAACCCUCGAAUGCCGGCGGAUACUGUCGGGCUAGAGUCCGGAAGAGGCGAGUGGAAUUCCUGGUGUAGCGGUGAAAUGCGCAGAUAUCAGGAGGAACACCAACGGCGAAGGCAGCUCGCUGGGACGGUACUGACGCUGAGACGCGAAAGCGUGGGGAGCAAACAGG